GCCGUCUGGUGCUUCAUCCGAGGCCUCAGAGGGUGGAGGAUCGCCAUGUACCUGCACACAGAAACCCAAGAUAGUAAAGUAUUUACAGGCUCCACAGUAAUCAGAUUACUUCUAACAGUAGGGUAUUGUCUCUGAACUCAGGGAAACUAGAGUUCUUUCAUUCCUGCUUCUUUGGUUCCUUGAGGAUUGUAAAAAGGCAACACAUUUUUAACUGCUAUUCUACAAGUUUUUCCUGUUUUGUUAAAAUAUGGAUAAGAACUAAAACCACAGAAAAAUGUUUAAUUUACAUGUCAGCUGUAAACAAACUAAUCUUAUUGGUUCUUGUAUCUGCAUUGAUCUUUGACAAUGUCUGAUUAUAAUAUUACACAGUUUUUGCUGUAGUUAAAUCAGUAAAAAGGGCAACGUUUACCCAGAAUGCACUUUUAAACUGUUCACACCAUGAUAUGCAUCCCAUAAUACUGAUGGUCACAGCUGGUUAUCGAUACAAUGAUCAGAAACCAGAUCCAGUGUUCAGACUGAGACCAAUGGAUGGAUUUAAACUGAUCAGGUGUCAGUUUUUACCAGAACUCAGAUGUGUUUCUCCUCCUAAAUGUCAUGGUUCUAUCUGCUGAACUGAUGAAGUUCUGAGGCUCAGAAAUGAUGGAAAAAGUCCAUUAAGAAGUGAUAAAUGUGGACCCACCUCUAUGGACUUCAAGGACCUGGAAAUAUUCAGAGUCUGAAGGUAGAACUCUGAUCAUUGAUAAAGUUCAUUCAUUCAUUUUAUUGUUUAUUUCAUUCACCAAAAACAAUUACAACAUAAAUACAUAUGCAACAAAAAAUAUCUGAAUGAAAGUUACUGGAGAUCCAGAACCAGAUGAUUCUGAGGAGGUUCUGGUUGGUUGAUCUUCCAUUGAUUUUUUUUCUUGUGACCUAUUUUAGACCAAAUCAUGUUUCAAGCAUUCAAAGACCAAAGGCACCUUGAAGGAUGGAAGCUGCAGGUGAACCCACCUGUCCACGGCGAUGGCCAGCAGAGAGUUGGUGGACACGUAGAGCGACACGGUGCGAAGGUAGUUGGUGGCAGCGCAGAGCAGCAGGCCGUGGUCCCAGGACAGCUGCUUCACCACGUAGUAGUCGAGCAGGAAGGGGCAGCACACCGCCGCCACCAGCACGUCAGACACCGCCAGGUUGGCGAUCAGCAGGUUGGUCAGGUUCCUCAGCUGCUUGUAGCGGGCCAGGCUGGCGAUGAACACGCAGUUCCCGACGCCGCACACCAGCAUGAUGACCACCAGGACCACGGCGAUGACGAUGGUGGCCCCGAAGAAGGCCGGGCCCUGCGUGGUGUCUGGGACCUCCUCCACGGGAACCUCGUAGUCCAGGAAGCUGCUGUUGAUCAGGUCGGCCAUCCUGGAUCACGGCAACAUGCUCGGAUCGUCGUGUCUGCAGGGAAACGCGUCACCAGAGGAAGCAGCAGAUAAACCAGGUCUUACCUGGACUGCAGGUGAGUGGACAGGUGGAGCUGAACCCUGCAAGAAACAAAACGAUGAUCAGAGAACAGAUGAAGUCUACCUUUACCUGAGAGACUACAGGAACAGCUGAUGAAGAUCAGCCCAGGACAACUGUACAGCUGUUGGUAGGUCUACUCUAGAACUUUCUCCAGCUGUCGGUAGGUCUACUCUAGAACUUUCUCCAGUUGUCGGUAGGUCUACUCUAGAACUUUCUCCAGCUGUCGGUAGGUCUACUCUAGAACUUUCUCCAGUUGUCGGUAGGUCUACUCUAGAACUUUCUCCAGUUGUCGGUAGGUCUACUCCAGAACUUUCUCCAGCUGUCGGUAGGUCUACUCCAGAACUUUCUCCAGCUGUCGGUAGGUCUACUCUAGAACUUUCUCCAGCUGUCGGUAGGUCUACUCUCGAACUUUCUCCAGCUGUCGGUAGGUCUACUCUAGAACUUUCUCCAGCUGUCGGUAGGUCUACUCUAGAACUUUCUCCAGCUGUCGGUAGGUCUACUCUAGAACUUUCUCCAGCUGUCGGUAGGUCUACUCUAGAACUUUCUCCAGCUGUCGGUAGGUCUACUCUAGAACUUUCUCCAGCUGUCGGUAGGUCUACUCUAGAACUUUCUCCAGCUGUUGGUAGGUCUACUCUAGAACUUUCUCCAGGGGAUGUUCUCCUCUAUGGACUUCAAGGACCUGGAACUCUGGAAAUAUUCCCAGUAUGAAGGUGGAACUCUGAUCAUUGAUAAAGUCACUGUAGAUGAAGAACCAGAUGUUCUGAUGAAGUUCUGGGGGUAACUCUGUUCUGAUCUGGUUGGUUUAAUGUAAAACAACCUCGUUCCAAAGUCAGAAAACGGCUUUAGAGUUCAGAUUUUUGGCUCCGUUUGGUCGUCUGUAAGAUUUUAUGUGAUGCUGGACGUCUGUAAACUGAA
Long non-coding RNA from Acanthochromis polyacanthus (spiny chromis), 2397 nucleotides. RefSeq lists it as uncharacterized. Lineage: Eukaryota; Metazoa; Chordata; Actinopteri; Pomacentridae. The record is from RefSeq and is a predicted model, not a curated record. The transcript has 4 exons.